RNAcentral lists this ribosomal RNA (573 nucleotides) under uncultured Candidatus Saccharibacteria bacterium. RNAcentral's name for it is "bacterial SSU rRNA". It matches the Rfam family "Bacterial small subunit ribosomal RNA", at positions 312 to 899 of the family's 1533-position model. Lineage: Bacteria; Candidatus Saccharimonadota. The record is from RNAcentral.
ACUGGAACUGAGACACGGUCCAGACUCCUACGGGAGGCAGCAGUAAGGAAUCUUCCACAAUGGGGGCAACCCUGAUGGAGCAACGCCGCGUGAAGGAUGAAGGCCCUCGGGUCGUAAACUUCUUUUAUAAGUGAGGAAUAUGACGGUAACUUAUGAAUAAGGAUCGGCUAACUACGUGCCAGCAGCCGCGGUCAUACGUAGGAUCCGAGCGUUAUCCGGAGUGACUGGGCGUAAAGAGUUGCGUAGGCGGUUAGUUAAGCGAAUAGUGAAACCUGGUGGCUCAACCAUACAGACUAUUAUUCGAACUGGCUAACUCGAGAGUAGCAGAGGUACCUGGAAUUUCUGAAGUAGGGGUAAUAUCCGUAGAUAUCAGAAGGAACACCAAUGGCGUAGGCAGGGUACUGGGCUAUUUCUGACGCUAAGGCACGAAAGCGUGGGGAGCGAACCGGAUUAGAUACCCGGGUAGUCCACGCCGUAAACGAUGGAUACUAGCUGUAGGAGGUAUCGACCCCCUCCGUAGCGAAGCUAACGCGUUAAGCAUCCCGCCUGUGGAGUACGGCCGCAAGGCUAAAA